This is a long non-coding RNA of Malania oleifera, 1207 nucleotides long. RefSeq lists it as uncharacterized. NCBI's taxonomy places the organism in Eukaryota, Viridiplantae, Streptophyta, Magnoliopsida, Santalales, Ximeniaceae. The transcript has 2 exons. The record is from RefSeq and is a predicted model, not a curated record.
UUUUCAAUCUUGCAACAAAUCAAUGAGUGCUGGUACAUGAUGUACUGAAGGAAGGGAUCAACACAAGUGAGAAUUUCCAAGUUGAGGCCCUAAUAAAAAAAUUGCCCUGAUAGUUGAAGGAUUAUAAUAAGAUGACUCUAUACACAAGCGUACGUUAGGAGACGAUGAUCUAAACGUGUACAUUAGGAGACAAUGAAAACCUGAGAAGAGCAAGGACAAAACAUCCAAGUGAAAUUUGGUCGAGUCCAAGGCCAAGGAGGAAAAGUCCUACAAAAUGGAAACGGCCCUAGAAAAGGUUUCUUGCAAGGGACCCCACAAUAAUUUCAAGGGUCUAGGCAACUAGGAGUUCAAGAAUAAGAAAAGAUACUGCUUUGUCUGCGGUAAGUAUGGACACCAUCUCAGCGAAUGCAGAUUCUGAAUACCUAGAAUUCAACCAAGCUGCAUGACUACUUAACACAAGCCGAGGAAGUCCUGGUUUUGGGUGGAAAAGAGUGGGUGGCGGACAAUAGAGCCACCAAGCAUAUCUGUAGUCAAAGAGAGAUGUUCAUUUCGUGUAUGUCUACCUAGAAGACACAAGAACCUCUCCAGUUGGCAGGAAUUGGUCCUCUGCAGCCCAAAGCAUGGGUGAGAAGGCACUAAAAUGCAUGGUGAGAAGAGUCAGAUGACACAGCACUGCAUCGACACUUUUGUAAUCAGGUUUGUACUAAAUCUACUUGCUACCCUUGUUUAAUUUUGUGAAAUAUGUACAAAAUAUAGUGACUGAACAUCCUUUAAUAUGAAAUCCCCCAUGUUGAUCCUGUGAACUGCUUUAAAUCUCUUAUACCUCUAUAAAAUGCCCAUGUGAUGGGUGGUCCCUGAGGGGUACUGUUCUUUACAUCAUCAGAUGUUGGUCAUGGAGUUAUUGGCAGUAUGCUGACACUUUUCUUGGUAUUUGAUGGCAUCAAUGGUCCUUUAAAUAAAGGCAAAUCUGAUGGCCCAAAACCCUUGCCAAGCUGACACGUUUUGGGUAUCAAUAAUCAUACUGUUGACAAAAUCAUCUUUUUUUUUUCCUCUCCCUCAAGCAGAAAUUAUGGUUCUCAUUCUGUCUAACCCGAAACAGAAAGGAACACUGUAUGCCGUUACCUCAAAGAUACUCUUUGUCUAUUAAUUGACAAAUGCUGGAUGAUAAUGAUCUCUAAGUAAUGAUAAUCGCUUAUUUUUCCUUUUA